AAAUUGAAGAGUUUGAUCAUGGCUCAGAUUGAACGCUGGCGGCAGGCCUAACACAUGCAAGUCGAGCGGUAGCACAGAGAGCUUGCUCUCGGGUGACGAGCGGCGGACGGGUGAGUAAUGUCUGGGAAACUGCCUGAUGGAGGGGGAUAACUACUGGAAACGGUAGCUAAUACCGCAUAACGUCGCAAGACCAAAGUGGGGGACCUUCGGGCCUCAUGCCAU
Molecule: ribosomal RNA, 222 nt
Filed under: Klebsiella pneumoniae
Lineage: Bacteria; Pseudomonadati; Pseudomonadota; Gammaproteobacteria; Enterobacterales; Enterobacteriaceae
Description: partial 16S ribosomal RNA
Rfam family: Bacterial small subunit ribosomal RNA
Source: RNAcentral